AUUGAACGCUGGCGGCAGGCUUAACACAUGCAAGUCGAGCGGGGUGAUGGUGCUUGCACUAUCACUUAGCGGCGGACGGGUGAGUAAUGCUUAGGAAUCUGCCUAUUAGUGGGGGACAACAUAUCGAAAGGGAUACUACUACCGCAUACGUCCUACGGGAGAAAGCAGGGGAUCACUUGUGACCUUGCGCUAAUAGAUGAGCCUAAGUCGGAUUAGCUCGGUGGUGGGGUAAAGGCCUACACAGGCGACGGUCUGUCGCGGGUCUGAGAGGAUGAUCCGCCACACUGGGACUGAGGCACGGCCCAGACUCCUGCGGGAGGCAGCAGUGGGGAAUAUUGGACAAUUGGGGGAACCCUGAUCCAGCCAUGCCGCGUGUGUGAAGAAGGCCUUAUGGUUGUAAAGCACUUUAAGCGAGGAGGAGGCUCUUUUGGUUAAUACCCAAGAUGAGUGGACGUUACUCACAGAAUAAGCACCGGCUAACUCUGUGCCAGCCGCCGCCGUAA
This 503-nucleotide ribosomal RNA is filed under the name uncultured bacterium. RNAcentral's name for it is "partial 16S ribosomal RNA". It matches the Rfam family "Bacterial small subunit ribosomal RNA", at positions 30 to 523 of the family's 1533-position model. The record is from RNAcentral.